AUGCAUCUCUGACAGCCCUGGAGCAGUUAAUGUCUGCCGCUAAGAUUUCCACUAUAGAUGCAAGAAAAGAAGGUCCUCGUGCUUUCAGUCUGUCUGGUUAUGUCAGCCAAGAUUGAAUGGGUGAAUAUAGGA
This 132-nucleotide small nucleolar RNA is filed under the name Dasypus novemcinctus (nine-banded armadillo). RNAcentral describes it as "Small nucleolar RNA SNORA31 (ENSDNOG00000044519.1)". The record is from RNAcentral. Lineage: Eukaryota; Metazoa; Chordata; Mammalia; Cingulata; Dasypodidae.